ACCCGAUGCAAACUGCGAAUACCGGAGAAUGUUAUCACGGGAGACACACGGCGGGUGCUAACGUCCGUCGUGAAGAGGGAAACAACCCAGACCGCCAGCUAAGGUCCCAAAGUCAUGGUUAAGUGGGAAACGAUGUGGGAAGGCCCAGACAGCCAGGAUGUUGGCUUAGAAGCAGCCAUCAUUUAAAGAAAGCGUAAUAGCUCACUGGUCGAGUCGGCCUGCGCGGAAGAUGUAACGGGGCUAAACCAUGCACCGAAGCUGCGGCAGCGAUGCUUAUGCGUUGUUGGGUAGGGGAGCGUUCUGUAAGCCUGCGAAGGUGUGCUGUGAGGCAUGCUGGAGGUAUCAGAAGUGCGAAUGCUGACAUAAGUAACGAUAAAGCGGGUGAAAAGCCCGCUCGCCGGAAGACCAAGGGUUCCUGUCCAACGUUAAUCGGGGCAGGGUGAGUCGACCCCUAAGGCGAGGCCGAAAGGCGUAGUCGAUGGGAAACAGGUUAAUAUUCCUGUACUUGGUGUUACUGCGAAGGGGGGACGGAGAAGGCUAUGUUGGCCGGGCGACGGUUGUCCCGGUUUAAGCGUGUAGGCUGGUUUUCCAGGCAAAUCCGGAAAAUCAAGGCUGAGGCGUGAUGACGAGGCACUACGGUGCUGAAGCAACAAAUGCCCUGCUUCCAGGAAAAGCCUCUAAGCAUCAGGUAACAUCAAAUCGUACCCCAAACCGACACAGGUGGUCAGGUAGAGAAUACCAAGGCGCUUGAGAGAACUCGGGUGAAGGAACUAGGCAAAAUGGUGCCGUAACUUCGGGAGAAGGCACGCUGAUAUGUAGGUGAAGUCCCUUGCGGAUGGAGCUGAAAUCAGUCGAAGAUACCAGCUGGCUGCAACUGUUUAUUAAAAACACAGCACUGUGCAAACACGAAAGUGGACGUAUACGGUGUGACGCCUGCCCGGUGCCGGAAGGUUAAUUGAUGGGGUCAGCGCAAGCGAAGCUCUUGAUCGAAGCCCCGGUAAACGGCGGCCGUAACUAUAACGGUCCUAAGGUAGCGAAAUUCCUUGUCGGGUAAGUUCCGACCUGCACGAAUGGCGUAAUGAUGGCCAGGCUGUCUCCACCCGAGACUCAGUGAAAUUGAACUCGCUGUGAAGAUGCAGUGUACCCGCGGCAAGACGGAAAGACCCCGUGAACCUUUACUAUAGCUUGACACUGAACAUUGAGCCUUGAUGUGUAGGAUAGGUGGGAGGCUUUGAAGUGUGGACGCCAGUCUGCAUGGAGCCGGCCUUGAAAUACCACCCUUUAAUGUUUGAUGUUCUAACGUGGACCCGUGAUCCGGGUUGCGGACAGUGUCUGGUGGGUAGUUUGACUGGGGCGGUCUCCUCCUAAAGAGUAACGGAGGAGCACGAAGGUUGGCUAAUCCUGGUCGGACAUCAGGAGGUUAGUGCAAUGGCAUAAGCCAGCUUGACUGCGAGCGUGACGGCGCGAGCAGGUGCGAAAGCAGGUCAUAGUGAUCCGGUGGUUCUGAAUGGAAGGGCCAUCGCUCAACGGAUAAAAGGUACUCCGGGGAUAACAGGCUGAUACCGCCCAAGAGUUCAUAUCGACGGCGGUGUUUGGCACCUCGAUGUCGGCUCAUCACAUCCUGGGGCUGAAGUAGGUCCCAAGGGUAUGGCUGUUCGCCAUUUAAAGUGGUACGCGAGCUGGGUUUAGAACGUCGUGAGACAGUUCGGUCCCUAUCUGCCGUGGGCG
This 1728-nucleotide ribosomal RNA is filed under the name Escherichia coli. Its description in RNAcentral is "partial 23S ribosomal RNA". It matches the Rfam family "Bacterial large subunit ribosomal RNA", at positions 942 to 2653 of the family's 2925-position model. Lineage: Bacteria; Pseudomonadati; Pseudomonadota; Gammaproteobacteria; Enterobacterales; Enterobacteriaceae. The record is from RNAcentral.